GACCUCGGAUCAGGUAGGGAUACCCGCUGAACUUAAGCAUAUCAAUAAGCGGAGGAAAAGAAACUAACAGGGAUUGCCCUAGUAACGGCGAGUGAAGCGGCAACAGCUCAAAUUUGAAAUCUGGCUCUUUCAGAGUCCGAGUUGUAAUUUGCAGAGGGCGCUUUGGCUUUGGCAGCGGUCCAAGUUCCUUGGAACAGGACGUCACAGAGGGUGAGAAUCCCGUACGUGGUCGCUAGCUAUUGCCGUGUAAAGCCCCUUCGACGAGUCGAGUUGUUUGGGAAUGCAGCUCUAAAUGGGAGGUAAAUUUCUUCUAAAGCUAAAUAUUGGCCAGAGACCGAUAGCGCACAAGUAGAGUGAUCGAAAGAUGAAUAGCACUUUGGAAAGAGAGUCAAACAGCACGUGAAAUUGUUGAAAGGGAAGCGC
This 423-nucleotide ribosomal RNA is filed under the name uncultured fungus. RNAcentral's name for it is "eukaryotic LSU rRNA". It matches the Rfam family "Eukaryotic large subunit ribosomal RNA", at positions 1 to 422 of the family's 3401-position model. Lineage: Eukaryota; Fungi. The record is from RNAcentral.